AGUGAACGCUGGCGGUAGGCCUAACACAUGCAAGUCGAACGGCAGCACAGUAAGAGCUUGCUCUUACGGGUGGCGAGUGGCGGACGGGUGAGGAAUACAUCGGAAUCUACUUUUUCGUGGGGGAUAACGUAGGGAAACUUACGCUAAUACCGCAUACGACCUACGGGUGAAAGCAGGGGAUCUUCGGACCUUGCGCGAUUGAAUGAGCCGAUGUCGGAUUAGCUAGUUGGCGGGGUAAAGGCCCACCAAGGCGACGAUCCGUAGCUGGUCUGAGAGGAUGAUCGGCCACACUGGAACUGAAACACGGUCCAGGCUCCUACGGGAGGCAGCAGUGGGGAAUGUUAGACAAUGGGCGCAAGCCUGAUCCAGCCAUACCGCGUGGGUGAAGGAGGCCUUCGGGUCGUAAAGCCCUUUUGUUGGGAAAGAAAAGCAGCAGGUUAAUACCCCGCUGUUCUGACGGUACCCAAAGAAUAAGCACCGGCUAACUUCGUG
Molecule: ribosomal RNA, 492 nt
Filed under: uncultured bacterium
Lineage: Bacteria
Description: partial 16S ribosomal RNA
Rfam family: Bacterial small subunit ribosomal RNA
Source: RNAcentral